RNAcentral lists this long non-coding RNA (210 nucleotides) under Brassica napus (rape). Its description in RNAcentral is "long non-coding RNA (BNAP_LNC018514)". Lineage: Eukaryota; Viridiplantae; Streptophyta; Magnoliopsida; Brassicales; Brassicaceae. The record is from RNAcentral.
CUUUGACAUUCUCAGCUUCGAUAGUCUUUGUAACCGGAGCCACGCUCGCCAAAGUUCCCAACUCCAUCCCAUCGAGUAUAGCCAUGGGACUCAUAUCCUCCAAGUUUAGUUCUUCGCCCGGGAGAGAACUGUAACCUGGAGUCGUAUUCAUCUUCUUGCUCUUCCUGCUGUUUUUUACUCGGUACGAGUCUCAGUCUCUUACCAGCAGUC